GAUGAACGCUGGCGGCGUGCUUAACACAUGCAAGUCGAACGGAAAGGCCGAAGCUUGCUUCGGUACUCGAGUGGCGAACGGGUGAGUAACACGUGGGUGAUCUGCCCUGUACUUCGGGAUAAGCUUGGGAAACUGGGUCUAAUACCGGAUAUGACGAUCUCUUGGAUGGGGUUGUGGAAAGCUUUUGCGGUAUGGGAUGAGCUCGCGGCCUAUCAGCUUGUUGGUGGGGUAAUGGCCUACCAAGGCGUCGACGGGUAGCCGGCCUGAGAGGGUGUACGGCCACAUUGGGACUGAGAUACGGCCCAGACUCCUACGGGAGGCAGCAGUGGGGAAUAUUGCACAAUGGGCGCAAGCCUGAUGCAGCGACGCCGCGUGGGGGAUGACGGCCUUCGGGUUGUAAACUCCUUUCGCAAUCGACGAAGCCUUUUGGUGACGGGAGGUUGAGAAGAAGCACCGGCUAACUACGU
This 467-nucleotide ribosomal RNA is filed under the name uncultured bacterium. RNAcentral describes it as "partial 16S ribosomal RNA". It matches the Rfam family "Bacterial small subunit ribosomal RNA", at positions 28 to 506 of the family's 1533-position model. The record is from RNAcentral.